This is a non-coding RNA of Ictidomys tridecemlineatus (thirteen-lined ground squirrel), 73 nucleotides long. The record is from Rfam. NCBI's taxonomy places the organism in Eukaryota, Metazoa, Chordata, Mammalia, Rodentia, Sciuridae.
GGGGAUAUAGCUCAGUUGGUAGAGUGCUUGCUUCACAUGCACAAAGCCCUGAGUUCAAACCCCAGUACCACCA